Molecule: ribosomal RNA, 264 nt
Filed under: uncultured bacterium
Lineage: Bacteria
Description: partial 16S ribosomal RNA
Rfam family: Bacterial small subunit ribosomal RNA
Source: RNAcentral
AUCCGCCUACGGGACGCAGCAGUCGAGAAUCAUUCACAAUGGGGGAAACCCUGAUGGUGCGACGCCGCGUGGGGGAAUGAAGGUCUUCGGAUUGUAACCCCCUGUCAUGUGGGAGCAAAUUAAAAAGAUAGUACCACAAGAGGAAGAGACGGCUAACUCUGUGCCAGCAGCCGCGGGAAUACAGAGGUCUCAAGCGUUGUUCGGAAUCACUGGGCGUAAAGCGUGCGUAGGCUGUUUCGUACGUCGUGUGUGAAAGGCUCGGGC